GUGUCAGCAGCCGCGGUAACACCGGCAGCUCAAGUGGUGGCCAUUAUUAUUGGGCCUAAAGCGUUCGUAGCCGGUUUGAUAAGUCUCUGGUGAAAUCCCGCAGCUUAACUGUGGGACUUGCUGGAGAUACUAUUAGACUUGAGGUCGGGAGAGGUUAGGGGUACUCCCAGGGUAGGGGUGAAAUCCUAUAAUCCUGGGAGGACCACCUGUGGCGAAGGCGCCUAACUGGAACGAACCUGACGGUGAGUAACGAAAGCCAGGGGCGCGAACCGGAUUAGAUACCCGGGUAGUCCUGGCCGUAAACGAUGUGGACUUGGUGUUGGAAUGGCCUCGAGCUGCUCCAGUGCCGAAGGGAAGCUGUUAAGUCCACCGCCUGGGAAGUACGGUCGCAAGACUGAA
This 399-nucleotide ribosomal RNA is filed under the name uncultured bacterium. RNAcentral describes it as "bacterial SSU rRNA". It matches the Rfam family "Archaeal small subunit ribosomal RNA", at positions 455 to 853 of the family's 1478-position model. The record is from RNAcentral.